CGGGGUGUAGUAUAAUGGCAGUACGCGAGGCUGGGGGUCUUGCAGCCCGAGUCCGAUUCUCGGCACCCCGA
RNAcentral lists this transfer RNA (71 nucleotides) under bacterium. Its description in RNAcentral is "tRNA-Pro". It matches the Rfam family "tRNA". Rfam says of the family: Transfer RNA (tRNA) molecules are approximately 80 nucleotides in length. Their secondary structure includes four short double-helical elements and three loops (D, anti-codon, and T loops). The record is from RNAcentral.